This 248-nucleotide long non-coding RNA is filed under the name Musa acuminata (dwarf banana). Its description in RNAcentral is "long non-coding RNA (MACU_LNC006995)". Lineage: Eukaryota; Viridiplantae; Streptophyta; Magnoliopsida; Zingiberales; Musaceae. The record is from RNAcentral.
CCGAGAUUGAUGCUGCUCAGCCUUGAGGACAACGCUGAUUUGAAGAGGGAGGAAUUGUUAGGACCAUUUUUCUGAGCUUUGAAUAAUGUUUAUUGAGUCUGUUUAGUUCAGUUAUUUAUUGAGUUCAGUUAGAAUGGGGUAGAGGUUUAUUUAAUAUUUAUUUAUUAUUAAGAGUCCAAGUCCUAGUGGACUCUAGAUGGAACUCUAUAAAUAGUGAUGUAACCCUUUCUUUUGAGAAUCAAUCAAUC